Molecule: non-coding RNA, 471 nt
Organism: Pogona vitticeps (central bearded dragon)
Lineage: Eukaryota; Metazoa; Chordata; Lepidosauria; Squamata; Agamidae
Source: RefSeq, a predicted model, not a curated record
AGCUUUCAGCAUUUUUCCUGCUGGAACUAACUAUAACACACCUAUUUGCAACGGAAUGAUGUUGGCGUUCCAGCAGUGAUGGUAAGACACCACAGGGAAGAAAGAAUGGAGAGAGGUUUAAAAUUCAACCGAGGCCAAUCAACUAGCGCUGAUAUUAACAGAGCAGAGGAGCAUGUGUGAACUUGAAGACAAAUGGAAGAUGGAGAAGGAUGAUGAGCAUGACCUUCAACCUGCCUGCCCCUGACAUUUGCGAUGGCCACAGAAAAAAGGAAAGGCCAGGGUGCACUUUUAGUUGUGAUAUUUCUCAUUCUCCCUCUCUCUGUGUGUCUUUCUCUUUCUCUCUCUCUCUCUCUCCCUCCCUCCCUCCCCCCAAACAAUUUUUGGACAGUUUUCUGUAAAGCAAAACAAUCCAGCCAACCUGCCUUUCAUCUUCCUUGCAGCUAACACAUGCAGCAAUAAACACCCUUUUAG